UCGGGGCCCAGUACAGGCUGGCCACUGACCGGGAUGUUCCUGUCUGCAGCAGAAGAUGGGGAUGGGGACACCCAUCAGCAGCACCCACUGAAGUAAGGGGGAGUUUCUGCACUGGCCUUGUGGAGCUGCCCAGGAACCUUUUUUCAGGAACCUGAAAUUGCUGUGUUGUGAAAUCCUGUCAGCAGGAAGAAGGGAAGGCCGACCGUGGCAGGGUGCCUGCGCUUGAUACAAGCCUACAGCAAGGGCUCAGCCGUGAUGAGCCACACGAGCCGCUGGCCCAGACCAGGACUGUCCCUGCCACCAAAGUCAGGCCUGAAGAAUUUGCUGUUUCUCAUCUGCAGCCUUCACCUUCUCGUAAGGAAGUUCAUUU
Molecule: long non-coding RNA, 370 nt
Organism: Cygnus olor (mute swan)
Lineage: Eukaryota; Metazoa; Chordata; Aves; Anseriformes; Anatidae
Exons: 3
Source: RefSeq, a predicted model, not a curated record